AGUGGGAUAGCUGGGUCAAAUGGUAAUUCCAUUCCCAGGUUUAUGAGUAAUCUCCAUACUGCUUUCUAGAAUGGUUGCACCAAUUUGCAGUGCCACCAGCAAU
This 103-nucleotide microRNA precursor is filed under the name Marmota monax (woodchuck). Lineage: Eukaryota; Metazoa; Chordata; Mammalia; Rodentia; Sciuridae. The record is from RNAcentral.